GAUCCUGGCUCAGGACGAACGCUGGCGGCGUGCUUAACACAUGCAAGUCGAACGAAGAGCGAUGGAAGCUUGCUUCUAUCAAUCUUAGUGGCGAACGGGUGAGUAACGCGUAAUCAACCUGCCCUUCAGAGGGGGGACAACAGUUGGAAACGACUGCUAAUACCGCAUACGAUCUGACCUCGGCAUCGAGGAUAGAUGAAAGGUGGCCUCUAUUUAUAAGCUAUCACUGAAGGG
RNAcentral lists this ribosomal RNA (234 nucleotides) under uncultured bacterium. RNAcentral describes it as "partial 16S ribosomal RNA". It matches the Rfam family "Bacterial small subunit ribosomal RNA", at positions 15 to 225 of the family's 1533-position model. The record is from RNAcentral.